Molecule: ribosomal RNA, 403 nt
Filed under: Fusobacteriota bacterium
Lineage: Bacteria; Fusobacteriati; Fusobacteriota
Description: Fusobacteria bacterium partial 16S ribosomal RNA
Rfam family: Bacterial small subunit ribosomal RNA
Source: RNAcentral
UGGGGAAUAUUGCACAAUGGAGGGAACUCUGAUGCAGCGACGCCGCGUGAACGAAGAAGGCUUUCGAGUCGUAAAGUUCUUUUAUAUGGGCAGAUAAUGACGGUACCAUAAGAAAAAGCCCCGGCUAACUACGUGCCAGCAGCCGCGGUAAUACGUAGGGGGUUAGCGUUGUCCGGAAUCACUGGGCGUAAAGGGUUCGCAGGCGGAAAUGCAAGUCAGGUGUAAAAGGCAGUAGCUUAACUACUGUAAGCAUUUGAAACUGCAUAUCUUGAGAAGAGUAGAGGUAAGUGGAAUUUUUAGUGUAGCGGUGAAAUGCGUAGAUAUUAAAAAGAAUACCGUGUGCGAAGGCGACUUACUGUGCUCAUUCUGACGCUGAGGAACGAAAGCGUGGGUAGCAAACAGG